CUGGUGCUGGCGGCCAGCAAUCCUUGGAUGUAUUUCUGCCUUCUGUCACUUGCCUAUGUCCUCUCCUUUCUAGCUUCUGUAACACCUGAUUCUUUUUAUAAAAAUUGCUGCAAUCUAAUUAAAACACACCCUCAUUCAUUUGGCCACACAAUAACUAAAAGUAUCAUGUUCAGGAGAUCCUACUUACAAUAGGUUCCCACUAAUAACAGCAUGUCUAAUUUUGUGUACAUAAUUCAGUCUACCAUGGGGGUUAGUUUAUUUUAUGUUUUCCAGGUAUAUGAUGUGAUUAUAUCUGAGAAUUUGGGGUGUAGGGUAGGUUUGUGUAAUUGUGGAUUUGGAAGCAGUUUUAUGUGUACCUAUAUAGGUUAGAAUGAGAUAGUUCUUUGUGUCUUCAGUGUGUGUGACUCAUAUGUGUGUAUAUCCAGGAGUGAGUGGAUGAAUUGUAUAUGUUUAUCUAUAGGAUAUAGCAUGUUAAAAGUAUUCACAGCCUUCUUUGGAAAAUGCUAUGGUUUUCAAAUGUGUCUUUGGCAAUGGUUUGGGGUUAGAGAGGUGGGGUUUUAUUCUGGAUAUAUGGAGAUGAUGUAUAAUGCUUGCCGGUGUAUAUGUUCAGGUAUUGGAAAUAUUUGAGAGUGUAUGUCUGCGUUUACUGUCUGUAGGGAGAUCAUGUUUGCAUAUUAUCAAUAGUGCAGAGAUAGCUGGUGUUUGUAUGUUUUGUGUGUAUCUAUCUGAGUGUUAGCUACAUAAUUAUAAUCAUGGGUUUUGUGUAAGUGUCUUCAUAGGGAGUUUGUGUGUGUAAUAAAGGGUUCACUGAAUAUCUUUGCUUAUUCUGGAAUAAAAUGCUCGAAGGUCUUGGUACAGUUGUGUGUAUAUGUGUUUUCAGGUCCUUGUUUGUAAUUGAUGUCUAUAGUUUGUUUGUACCUCUCUAUGCAUUUGAGUUCACGGAGAUCAGGAAGUUCAUCGAGUAUGUCCUCUUUGAUAUAUGAUAGUUCAGUAUUGGAAACUAACAGUAUGUGUAGGUUGUGCAUGUGUUGAGAAAUUGUGAAUAUUGUACAGUUGUGGGAUUGUGUGUAGGUCCAUUAGGGGGACAUAUGAGAUAAAUGUUUGUUUCCUUGGUGCUUUGAGAGCCUGUGCGUUUGUAGGGUGUUUAGUGUGUAUAUACCAGAAAUGUGUUUGUUGCAAGUUUGUUUUCAGGCAGGUUUGUAAUUUUUUAUGUGCCUAUCGUAGGACUGGCAUGUGGGUAUUCUAGGUGGGUAUGUUUUCACUGUAAAAAUUUAGGAAUAAUAGGUCAUUUGACUAUACUUAAGGUGUGGGUACAAUUGGGCAUGUUUGUCUAGGAUAUAUGAGAGUCUGUGUGUCUGGAGAUAUAUAGGGUGGUUUUACUGGUGUAGUUAGGGUGGGAGUUGAGGGUCCUCCUUGGGGUACAACUCCAUCCUGUAUACAUGUUCCUAUGAAAGGGGAUCAAGUUCACUGGAGCUGGUUCAUAUUAGCAAGAUAUGGUGGUUUAGAGCUGUAUGUACUCCAGAAAAAUAUGUUCUUAAUCAAUUCCCAUUGUAAUUAGUACCUUUUGAUGGGGGUAUCUCCAGUCAUGUGUCUCACCUCACCAGGAUGUGUCCUAAUCUUUUAUGAAUGGAAUUCUUUAUGAACAGAAUGCAAUUCAGACAGAAAGCCACAGGAAGCAAGAAGGUGAAAUUCAGUGGAACCCAAUCAGAAUGUCCAAUGCUUUAGGAGUAAAGACUCCCGACUUAGAUGUUGGAGAUUUUCUUCUCUUCCUCAUGCAGAUGGGUUCAGGGUUCCUGAUUCUUCUUUAUUUUCCCUAUUCCACAUGGAGCUGGAUCCCAGCAGAGGGUUCCAAAUGAUAGCGGAAAUCUUCUGACCUCACACCUGCCUCCUGCCUCCCUGGGACCCACUGAAGGAUUUCUUGUCCUUACUCCUUUCGGGCCUCUUCUUCC
Choloepus didactylus (southern two-toed sloth) is the source of this 1949-nucleotide long non-coding RNA. RefSeq lists it as uncharacterized. Lineage: Eukaryota; Metazoa; Chordata; Mammalia; Pilosa; Megalonychidae. The transcript has 3 exons. The record is from RefSeq and is a predicted model, not a curated record.